GGGAAUCUUCCACAAUGGACGCAAGUCUGAUGGAGUAACGCCGCGUGAGUGAAGAAGGUUUUCGGAUCGUAAAGCUCUGUUGUUGGUGAAGAAGGAUAGAGGUAGUAACUGGCCUUUAUUUGACGGUAAUCAACCAGAAAGUCACGGCUAACUACGUGCCAGCAGCCGCGGUAAUACGUAGGUGGCAAGCGUUGUCCGGAUUUAUUGGGCGUAAAGCGAGCGCAGGCGGAAGAAUAAGUCUGAUGUGAAAGCCCUCGGCUUAACCGAGGAAUUGCAUCGGAAACUGUUUUCUUGAGUGCAGAAGAGGAGAGUGGAACUCCAUGUGUAGCGGUGGAAUGCGUAGAUAUAUGGAAGAACACCAGUGGCGAAGGCGGCUCUCUGGUCUGCAACUGACGCUGAGGCUCGAAAGCAUGGGUAGCGAACAGGAUUAGAUAC
Molecule: ribosomal RNA, 435 nt
Filed under: uncultured bacterium
Lineage: Bacteria
Description: partial 16S ribosomal RNA
Rfam family: Bacterial small subunit ribosomal RNA
Source: RNAcentral